Daphnia pulex (common water flea) is the source of this 340-nucleotide long non-coding RNA. RefSeq lists it as uncharacterized. NCBI's taxonomy places the organism in Eukaryota, Metazoa, Arthropoda, Branchiopoda, Diplostraca, Daphniidae. The record is from RefSeq and is a predicted model, not a curated record. The transcript is spliced from 3 exons.
UCCGUUACACAAGGGCCCUUCAAUCCCCUAUCCAGUCUGCCACCGUAUCUAUAGUAGCCUAUCAGAGAUGGUGUAUAUAAACGCAAACUUGCUUCGUGGUUUUGUUGAAGAAAUUGUUGGCCAUCAUGCUCUUUUACCACUGGAUCGUCGUACUCUGUAGCUGUGCUGUCCAGGAUGGAAUAGCUAGCAGCACAUCAAACACAGUUAAGAAGUCAGUACUUGGCGGACACCAUUUGAUCAUUGGAACAAUACACAUUUCUCCGUAUAUUAUUAUCGAACGUUUUGGAACACGCAUCCGCCAUGUUAAUGGACACGUCCACCAAAUCAUUGAAUGGGUAGC